AUCAACUUUCGAUGGUAGGAUAGAGGCCUACCAUGGUGGUAACGGGUAACGGGGUGUUAGGGCACGACACCGGAGAGGGAGCCUGAGAAACGGCUACCACAUCCAAGGAUGGCAGCAGGCGCGCAAAUUACCCAAUCCCGACACGGGGAGGUAGUGACAAUAAAUAACAAUACGGGGCUCUUUAGGGUCUCGUAAUUGGAAUGAGUACAAUUUAAAUCUCUUAACGAGGAACAAUUGGAGGGCAAGUCUGGUGCCAGCAGCCGCGGUAAUUCCAGCUCCAAUAGCGUAUAUUAAAGUUGUUGCAGUUAAAAAGCUCGUAGUUGAAUUUCGGGAUCAGCAGGUUGGUCGUGCCUUUGGUAUGCACUGGUUUCGUUGAUUCCUCCCUUCUGAAGAACUGUAAUGUCAUUAAUUUGGUGUUGCAGGGAAACAGGACUGUUACUUUGAAAAAAUUAGAGUGUUUAAAGCAGGCUAACGCUUGAAUACAUUAGCAUGGAAUAAUGAAAUAGGACGUUUGAUCCUAUUUUGUUGGUUUCUAGGAUUGACGUAAUGAUUAAUAGGGAUAGUUGGGGGCAUUAGUAUUCAAUUGUCAGAGGUGAAAUUCUUGGAUUUAUUGAAGACUAACUACUGCGAAAGCAUUUGCCAAGGAUGUUUUCAUUAAUCAAGAACGAAAGUUAGGGGAUCGAAGACGAUCAGAUACCGUCGUAGUCUUAACCAUAAACUAUGCCGACUAGGGAUCGGAUGAUGUUAAUUUUUUAAUGACUCAUUCGGCGCCUUACGGGAAACCAAAGUGUUUGGGUUC
This 799-nucleotide ribosomal RNA is filed under the name uncultured Glomeromycotina. RNAcentral describes it as "SSU rRNA". It matches the Rfam family "Eukaryotic small subunit ribosomal RNA", at positions 314 to 1114 of the family's 1831-position model. Lineage: Eukaryota; Fungi; Glomeromycota. The record is from RNAcentral.